AUUUCAAAUUGGAUGAUGAUAAUAAGUACAUUUCAUCUGAAGAUUUAGCAAAAUACAUAGUGAAAGGUGUCAGAUACUCUUAGAAAUGUAUCAUUGACAGCAAUCAACUUAAGAUGAUUGCAAACCAAUUUUGAAUAAAAACUGUUCAUCAUGAGGCAGUAUCAUAAAUGUUCAUGUGGUCCUCCUUCCAAAUUUGAAUAAAUUUAUUUCAACUUCA
Long non-coding RNA from Nilaparvata lugens (brown planthopper), 217 nucleotides. RefSeq lists it as uncharacterized. Lineage: Eukaryota; Metazoa; Arthropoda; Insecta; Hemiptera; Delphacidae. The record is from RefSeq and is a predicted model, not a curated record. The transcript is spliced from 2 exons.